AUUGAACGCUGGCGGCAGGCUUAACACAUGCAAGUCGAGCGGAGUGAUGGUGCUUGCACUAUCACUUAGCGGCGGACGGGUGAGUAAUGCUUAGGAAUCUGCCUAUUAGUGGGGGACAACAUCUCGAAAGGGAUGCUAAUACCGCAUACGUCCUACGGGAGAAAGCAGGGGAUCACUUGUGACCUUGCGCUAAUAGAUGAGCCUAAGUCGGAUUAGCUAGUUGGUGGGGUAAAGGCCUACCAAGGCGACGAUCUGUAGCGGGUCUGAGAGGAUGAUCCGCCACACUGGGACUGAGAAACGGCCCAGACUCCUACGGGAGGCAGCAGUGGGGAAUAUUGGACAAUGGGGGGAACCCUGAUCCAGCCAUACCGCGUGUGUGAAGAAGGCCUUAUGGUUGUAAAGCACUUUAAGCGAGGAGGAGGCUCUUUUGGUUAAUACCCAAGAUGAGUGGACGUUACUCGCAGAAUAAGCACCGGCUAACUCUGUGCCAGCCGCCGCGGUAA
This 503-nucleotide ribosomal RNA is filed under the name uncultured bacterium. RNAcentral's name for it is "partial 16S ribosomal RNA". It matches the Rfam family "Bacterial small subunit ribosomal RNA", at positions 30 to 523 of the family's 1533-position model. The record is from RNAcentral.